AACUUUAACCAAACAAGAGAUACACAGAACCCUAAUCUCCAAAGACCCAAACACCCAACACUAUUUACUCGCAUCUCUCACACAAAUCAGACCCUAAAUCACCCAAAUCCAUGGUGAGUGAUUCCAAACUGAUAACCACGUGUUCCUCCUUCUCUCCUCUUUCUAUUUCUAACGGUUUCCUACACAUUAUCCCUCAUCUCAACUCGCCCGAUGUUGAGAUGUAACACGCGAUUGGAAGGUUCUGCGAAAAAUUUGUUGGAGGAGUGUGAGGUGUUGGAUUGAUUAAUUCCAUCUGAGCCCCAUACUCAUCAGGGUUUGGUUUUCAAAAGGGACCUCAUCUGAUUUUGAGGAUAGAGGAUUCUGGGAUUUAUUUGGAGGAUUUUUCGGACAGCAGAGAAGUCACCUAGAAAUAAGACUUCGAAUGAAGCUUUUCUUUUCAUUUUUGUCUGAAACUAUCUUGGUUUAAUUCCAGUGACAAAAUCAAAAAAAUUUCAUUCUCAUCUUUAAUCUUAGCCCUUUGUUCUUUUCAUCUUGAAGUUCAGACGUUUUCAUUCUCAUGGUGUAUCUGGUUUGAACUUGAAGUGUGCGUUCAUUUUUUCUGAAUUUUAUUUUGAGUUAAUUGAAGUCGACUGAGUGCUGUUGGUUUCGAGUUGCUCCAAAGCUGUUCGCUUAGCUGCUGACUCGUGAGUUCAUUAUGAUCUCUAUUUGGACUCGCUUCCUCUGAGAAUCGUUGUAAUCCUUCAACUGCAUUAAUCAAAAGUUUAUUUUAAGGUUCACUUCCAAACUCUCUUAUUUUGCUGUUUUACGUGAGUUGAAAUAUUUUGUUUGUUUGAAUUAAUUGCUAGAAACCUGAGAAGUAAAACACAAUUUUGGCAUGCUUGGUUGAGCUUUGAGUUGGUUUUCUGAGUUUGAAUGUCUGUUUCAAUGGUUCUUUUUAUGGAAAUGUGAAUGUCUGUUUGAGUUUGAAUGUCUGCUCGAGUUGCUGCAUUGCUGAGUACUGUCAGCUACGAUUACUCUAGUUUGAGUUGUAGUUUGUUGUGUCCGAACUAAUGUAGGAUUUUUUGUUCAUCGUUGGCUUCAAUAUAAGCUUAUCAAAUCAGCAAGCGGU
This 1108-nucleotide long non-coding RNA is filed under the name Nicotiana benthamiana. Its description in RNAcentral is "long non-coding RNA (NBEN_LNC038055)". Lineage: Eukaryota; Viridiplantae; Streptophyta; Magnoliopsida; Solanales; Solanaceae. The record is from RNAcentral.